Non-coding RNA from Podarcis lilfordi (Lilford's wall lizard), 75 nucleotides. The record is from the annotation of a GenBank genome assembly. NCBI's taxonomy places the organism in Eukaryota, Metazoa, Chordata, Lepidosauria, Squamata, Lacertidae.
GACUGGAUAGCUCAGUUGGCUAGAACGUGGUGCAGGCAAAUGCCAAGGCUGCAGGUUCGAUCCCUGUAUGGGACA